This 1280-nucleotide long non-coding RNA is filed under the name Citrus sinensis (sweet orange). Its description in RNAcentral is "long non-coding RNA (CSIN_LNC005146)". The record is from RNAcentral. Lineage: Eukaryota; Viridiplantae; Streptophyta; Magnoliopsida; Sapindales; Rutaceae.
GAUUUGAUUUUAAUCAAUGGUCCAAAUUGAACCAUCACCAUUUCAAAUGAAAUGUCACCAUGAAAUGAUGCAUCUCUAAGUGAAAUGUUGCCAUGAAAAGUUAUAUCAUUUAGUAAAAAGAUACCUUUUCUACAAGACACAAUUAAAUGGACAUGUCCUUACAACAAGACAUCAUUUAAUUAAACAUGUCUUUAGUGAAAGGUAUCUUUUCUACAAGGCACAAUUAAUAGGACAUGUCUUUACCAUAAGACACAUUUAUUUUGAAAAUUUUCCAACAGCCACUACCGAAAGUUGAGGCGGUCCCUCUAUUAGUAGAUCUAAUAACUCCUCCAUUCUAUUAUCUAGACCCACCGUGUCCCUAUUCUUUAAAGAUGAGGAUGCAGGAAAAUUACUAGCUUUUGCUUCAAACGAUUUGAGCUCAUCAACGAUUCUGGAGUGGAUGUGCUGAACUUGCUGCAUCCGUUGUUUUAUAUCAAUGAUUUUGCUUUGGAGUCCUAGCAGAGCAUCACAAAUGUCCUUGCUGCAUCCGCUUUGACUCUUCUGUUGAGUGAUACUGAUAGCAAAUGUGUCAAUCACAUUCUCAGAUAUGUAUGAAAAGCAACGAAUUUUGUCAAUGAUAGCCUUAAAAUCUUCUAAUUCUGCAAGAGUUUGACCCUCUUCUGCAUUGACUUGCUACAUAAACCAAGCAGUGUUGUAUCUAGAGUCCCUCAACCAAGAAGCAACGAUUUCAGUCUCAGUGUAAAGGUUCUAAAUAGGUUGUUCAGCAGCAUCGGGCACCGUGAAUUCUUCACCAGCUAGCACCCUUCUUAGUCUCUCUGAAAAUAGUCCAAGGUUGAUGUCCAUAUCUCCUUCACUCUCGGUAGUCAGUAGCCAGCAGCCCUAGCAUGCAAAGAAAACAAUUAUAAAAAAAAUGGUUAAAAGCUCUCCUUUUACUUCAACAUUAGUCAACAUAAGCAACUGAGGAUGGCACCAAUACCUCCUUCUCAUUUGGGUUAUCAUCUUUCAUGAUACCCCUUCAUUCAUGGCCAUUGGAUCUAGAUUUGAUUUUAAUCAAUGGUCCAAAUUGAACCAUCACCAUUUCAAAUGAAAUGUCACCAUGAAAUGAUGCAUCUCUAAGUGAAAUGUUGCCAUGAAAAGUUAUAUCAUUUAACAAAAAGAUACCUUUUCUACAAGACACAAUUAAAUGGAUAUGUCCUUACAACAAGACAUCAUUUAAUUAGACAUGUCUUUAGUGAAAGAUACCUUUUCUAUAAGGCACAAUUAAUAGGACAUGUCUUUAU